This 93-nucleotide ribosomal RNA is filed under the name uncultured bacterium. Its description in RNAcentral is "partial 16S ribosomal RNA". The record is from RNAcentral.
UGGGUAACCUGCCUCAAAGAGGGGAAUAGCCUCCCGAAAGGGAGAUUAAUACCGCAUAAUAUGUUUAGGUCGCAUGACUUUAACAUCAAAGGU